Molecule: ribosomal RNA, 194 nt
Filed under: uncultured bacterium
Lineage: Bacteria
Description: partial 16S ribosomal RNA
Rfam family: Bacterial small subunit ribosomal RNA
Source: RNAcentral
CCUACGGGAGGCAGCAGUGGGGAAUUUUGCACAAUGGCCGAAACCCUGAUGCAGCAACGCCGCGUGAGCGACGAAGGCCUUCGGGUUGUAAAGCUCUGUUGCCCGUGAAGAACGGUACGGACAGGAAAUGGUCUGUACUUGACGGUAGCGGGAGAGGAAGCCCCGGCUAACUACGUGCCAGCAGCCGCGGUAAU